UAGUUAAAAUACACAUUUUAGUCGUGUUUUCACUCAGUCCUGUUACCCUGACACAUUCCCCCCUCUAAACUUUGGGGCAUUCCACAAGUCACAUGAUCAACAGGAAGUAGCAUCAUUUGAGUCCUGAAGGCCAUGGGAAGACAAAGUCAGUUCUCUCACUCUUUUUAUCAUAUUGGAGCAAAUCGAUUAAGUGCUGCAGAAAAGCAGCGGCGCUAUCAUGCUCGACGCGAUGCCGACCCAGAAAGGAGAGACAGAUACUUAAAGAAGGAACAGCAGAAAUACAGGCAAAGGAUGAAGGGCUUAAAAGGAGGUGAAAGACAUCAGAAAAGCACCGGAAACAAACUGAAGAGCUACAAAAGCAGCUACAGACACAAACCCGAAAAAGGAGAGGUAUAAGGAAAACAUUCUGCGUAUGAAACAGAAUAAUCCAUCUCCAUGUACAAAAGUUGACAAACAAAUGAGACCGCUACCACGCUCUACAAUGCAAAAGACCCUUCUCUUCCACGAGGCCUUAGUGGAGGACAUCCGACAGAGGUACAGCAACUCACGGGGAGAAAGGGAAAGGCAACUCAUCUCUAAGAUAGUGACAGGAAAACUCCAAAAAAUAUAGGCUGCAACGUCUCUCCCAAAGUUCAUUUGGGUUGUCAAAGAAAAGGUGGCUGAUGAAUGCGAAGAAUGCAGAACUUAACUUAAACUACCAAAGGAAGAGAAACAGUAGGGUGGUAGAUGGUUCAUAAACAAAGUCCGAGAUUUUUACACCAUGGAUGAUGUCAGUCGAUUAACGACUAGGAAGAGGCAGACCCCUCACACAGAAGAAAAUCCGACGAGGUUCCUUUUGGACACAAUGAAAAAUCUACAUAUGAAGUUUUUGGCAGAACAUGAUGGGUUUAUCUCAUACUCCCUCUUCUGCUCACUGCGCCCCUUUUGGGUUGUUCACCCAACUCUAAGUGACCGGGAGACUUGCAUGUGCAAACUGCACGAAAACCUCAGUUUUAUCAUACAGAAACUGCACCACCUGAAGAUAAUCAACACUUUCAAUCCUGAUGAACUUCUAAAAUCCGUCACAUGCAACACAGAGUGCAUGUAUGGAGAAUAUGCGGUGUGCAAGGACCUCUCUUGCCCUGUCUCUGGCCAAUACAAUGAUAAGAAUGAAGUAACUUAUGUCCAGUGGGCAACUGUGGAUAAGGAGCACAAUAAUGACCCCAAUGGCAGAACAUUCAAAGUCACCAUCAAAAAAAGAGUUCCAGACCACCCAAGAGCAACUGCUGGAACAGCUGAACCUGAUGCUGUGCUAGUUUAAGAUGCACACUUACAACAUCAAGAAUCAGUUUACCCACUACAGGGCACUGAAACAAGGCUUCAAAGCACAUGAAUGCUUAAUUCAUGUUGACUUUUCUGAAAAUGACCUCUGUAAGUACGCCACAGAAAUACAGUCGGUCCACUUCAGAGCAUCACACCAGCAGGCAACAUUGCACACAGGUGUGCUUUAUGUGCAUACAACCCCCCGACUGGUGUCCUCCUGCACAGUGUCCCCCUCCAGACAGAAGGGCCCACCAGCAAUCUGGCAGCACUUGUCACCAGUGCUUGAUUAUGUGCAGAGUGCACAUCCAGAGGUCUCCACUAUCCAUUUUUACAGUGAUGGCCCUUGCACUCAGUACAAGCAGCGAGGGAAUGUUUUCCUGUUGAAUGUUUUGUACUGAGCUGUUCAGAAGAGGAUUCACUGCUGGAACGUGGAACUUCUUUGAGGCAAACCAUGGCAAGAGUGCCCCGGAUGGAGUGGUAGGGCCCUGAAGAGGACGGCUGACGGUCUUGUCAGCAAGGUGACAGAUAUCCCUAAUGCUUCAGAGCUGUUUUCUGUGUUGAGCAAGAUGGAUACAGCAAGCAAGUUGUUGUUUGUGGAAGAGGAAGCAGUCAACAGAGCAGUGCCAGAGAUGCCCAAGGAUGUGCCACCAGUUCCAUCUAUGAUAAAGAUGCAUCAGGCAGUAACCCUAGGCCAUGGAGAGCUGACCUACAGUGACGUCGGCUGCUUGUUCACAGCAAGACAACAUCUGAGCUGUUAGUGCUUUAAUGCAAAGCAUUUCACAUUCAAUCGACAGAAGGCUCCCACGACCACAGGAAAUCAGUGGCAAAGUCCUGAGGUUGUUGGCAAAUGGUGUGCGCUGAAGUACAACGGUCAACUGUACCCUGGCAUCAUCACAGACACAAACAACACAUACGUCAAGGUUUGUUGUAUGAAUAGUAUUGGGGCCAACAGGUUUUGCUGGCCAGCCCGCGAAGACAUCCUUUGGUACCUGUUUCAAGACAUCCUGUGUACCGUCCCACCAGCGAGGCAAGUCACAGCUCGUUACAUGGAAACUGACAACGAAGAAACUAGACUGUUUCUUAGAAAAGGCAAGUUUUUGUUCAUUUUUUUAUUGAAAUUCUGUAUGAAAUACAAUUUUGUUGUGUUUGCAAGUGAAUGUUGUGUUUAUAUGCAGAAAAUAGUAAUUUCAAGUUAAUAUUAGAUACUGGUAGUCAAUGUAGAGAUAUGAGGAUCUGCUUCAUAUGCUCAGCUUUUUGUAUUUGUUUUCUUUCUUGCCUUUUGUUGAGGAAUAUGGAGAACCCAUACUGUGCAGAGGCAGGAGCCUCACACACAUGCUGCAGGGGGAGGAGUGAUACUCACACCUUUCUCUCUCUCUCUCUUUCCACCGCCCACCCCGCACACACACACACACACACACACACACACACACACACACACACACACACACACACACACACACACACACACACACACACACACACACACACACACACACACACACACACACACACGCACACACACUCAUGCAGAAGCAUGCACACACAAUUGUUACAGCUUUUAUGUUGAUAUUUAGACUUAAGAUAUUUUUUGCCAAAUAUAAUGACCUCUGUUUUAUUUUUGUUUAAUUGAAGGAAGUUCUGUGACAUCCAGUUAUUCUCACAAGCACUCAUUCCUGUUUCUCAGUGGUCAUUCCUGUGACACAAUGUUCAUUCCUGUUACUUCAUUGUUUUUUAGUAAAAAAAAUAAAGAUAAACCACCUAUUUUUCAA
Molecule: long non-coding RNA, 3071 nt
Organism: Salvelinus fontinalis (brook trout)
Lineage: Eukaryota; Metazoa; Chordata; Actinopteri; Salmoniformes; Salmonidae
Exons: 3
Source: RefSeq, a predicted model, not a curated record